UAUAUAUAUAUUUUAUAUAUAUAUAUAUAUAUAUAUAUAGAGUUGAGUUAGAAUACUAUCAGUAGUAAACGAGCCGUUUUACUACCGAUUUGUUUUCGAUGAUAGAACUUCCAAAUUGACGAUCGGCUCCGUUGAACAUGAUCUAUACCACUUGAAGUGUUUAGAAAUCAAAUUUCAAAUCUUUUCGACAUCAUUUGCCUAAUGAUCAAAGGGUUUCAAAAUUUGUAAUUUUAAUGGUCGAUAAGAGGCGUUUUCUCGUUUAACGGCGUAAAGAUAUCCAAAUCAAUUGAAUUUUUGUUAGAAAAUUCUUUAAACUAUUUAAAACAAGAUCUAUACUCUUGAUCUUGAUUACAAGACUCCUAUCAUCAUUUUUUAAAAAGUAUUCAUUUUCAGCCAUUCAUUUUUUUGUUCACUUGAUGGAUAAAAGAACAAUAUCGAAAGUGCGUGAAAUUUGAUUUCUAGGUAGUUUAAAUGAUUUAGAUUAUAUUUAACGGAGCCGACCGUCAAUUUGGAAGCUCUAUCAUCGAAAACAAAUCGGUAGUAAAACGGCUCGUUUACUACCGAUAGUAUUCUAGCUCAACUCUCUCUCUCUCUCUCUCUAUAUAUAUAUAUAUAUAUAUAUAUAUAUAUAUAUGAGGGUAUUUAAAUCUGUGAAAUUCAUACAACAUUAAUGCGUAUAUGUGAAUGCAAUUCUUUUUUGAAAGUAAUCAAAUUUCGGUGCGAUUCUGCUGCUUAACCCCAAAUUUCUCUUUUUAUUGGAAAAGCUGGGAACUUGUUAGGUUGAGCCCACUCUUAUAGUUUAUUAGAAUAGAACCCAUGUUUUGCUGGGUAGAUAGUAUUUCAAUCAAUUAAUAUAUAUAAUUUUUAAAAUUUUAAAAUUGAAAAAAUUAUAAUGAAAAAUACAAAACCAACUUAUAUAUAUAUUCUUUUAUAGAUGGGAAAAUUUCAAAUACUCCGGUGGUUUCGCAGUUUCUCACUUUAGUACUCUGUGGUUUAAAGUGUAUCAAGUUAGCACCAUGUGGUUUUGCAGUUUCUCACUUUAGUACCCUGUGAUUUAAAGUGUAUCAAGUUAGUAUCCUGUGGUUUCGCACUUUCUCACUUUAGUAUCCUGUGGUUUAAUAUUUCGUUAAAUUAUAUACAAAAAAAACUUCAUAUUUCGUUAAAUUAUAUACAAAAAAAAACUUCAGUUACCCUACCUAGGUUUAUCAAAUAUUCAUUUUAGUACCCUUUGUAUCCUUUAGUUUUAACUUUAUUACUGAUUUAAUAAAAAAAAUACCUCGAAAUGAAUAAUAAAAAAAAAAAAAAUGAAACCACAUGAUACUAACUUGAUGCAAAAAUAAAACCACAGAGUACUAACUUGAUACACUUUAAACCACAGGGUACUAAAGUGAGAAACUGCGAAACCACACGGUACUAACUUGAUACAUUUUAAACCACAUGGUACUAAAGUGAGAAACUGCGAAACCACAGAGGGAGUAUUUGAAGUUUUCCCUUUAUAUAUUAUAAAAGCUAUUUUUUUUAUACUAAUAUUUUUAAUUUUCAGUAUUUGUACAGUUAAAUAUUCUAAUAACUUUAAUUAAAAAUUCAAUCAAACUUAAUAGUUUUAGUAGCUAAUUUAUAAAUAAAUUUUUAAUUUAAGAGUUAAAAUUGGAGAAAUUAUUCUAAGUUGCCAAAUAUAUAAGAUCGUCUGUACCUUACUAAAAUUUAUUGGAAAAAUAUGUUAGUGUUUACAAAUGAUGUAUAUUAACACACCGUAUACUACAAUUUAUAUUAGAGAACUAAUUUCUAAUAUCAAAAUGUAAUUAAAUAUAUCUAAGCUAUGAAGUCUAAUAAUUUAAAUAUAUUUGCCGAAUUAAAUUUUAAAUUAUUAUUAGAGAUUUGAAGCACGAGGUCCAUGUAAUUAUAUACAUUUAGUCUAGAGAAUACUCACCGGACUUUUUGAAAAGCUCUUUUUCGUAGUUCUAAGAAAAAGAGGAGAAAUUUUUGCUUGCACCUUAUAUAUACUAAUAUUUUAUACAUCGUAAGUAUAUUAGAUGAUUGAUAAAAUACCUAAUAAUUAGUAUUAUAAAAUAAAAUAUAAUAUAGUAUAAUAUAAUAUAAAAUAUAAAAUAUUUUAAUAAUUGUUUGUAUUAUAGAAAUUUAUUUUUUAUUUAUAUUUUAUAUUCGGUCUACGGCUCAAUUGGUGCGUGGAAAAUUUAUAUUGAAUGAGUGACGUGUUUUUAUUGCCUAGGGACUACAUCAGAGACUUGGCUCCUAAAGUUACCUUUAUGAUGUGACCGUACUGAAUAUUCUAUAUUCUAUAUAGAUAGUUGAAUAAGAGGGAGGGUUUUUUUUUUUUUUUUUUUAGACUUUUUUUGCAUUUGGUCUAGUAAAAGAAAAAUUAGUUUAAAAAUAAUCCUAACAAAUUUAUAUUUUCAAAAAAUAGCUCUAAACUUGUCACGCAGAUGCCACGCCAGCGCCACGUAAAUGGGGCUGGGGCCAAUUUGUUAAGUUGAACACGGUGAACCAUUCACUGUAUCUAAACACGGUGAAUGGUUCACCGUAUUUAGAGAAAAUACAAUAUAUAUGUAUUGCGAAAAAAUAUAAAAAAUAUAUAUGGAGGUAUUUGAACAUGAUAAAUGAAAAAGGAGGGGAAUAUAGAUAUGGAAUACAGUGAACCAUUCACCGUGUUGGAACACGGUGGAUGAUUCACCUUGUUCAACUUAAAAUUAUGUAUUGAUGUGACACUUGCAUGGCAGAAAUAUGACUAAAUUUGUAACUAUAAAUUUGAUGGGACUAUUUAUAAAAAAAAUAUUUUGAGGUAACCAAAGGCCCAAGAAAAAAGCCCCUUUUUUUAUGUUGAUUUUUUUUAUGUCGGUGGGUCACGGCGGACAAGCGUUCAAAUCUGGAUCUCAAUAGUCAAAGGAUAAAGGGUUUUUGUUGACUAAUUGUUUAAUAAAUAAGAGUUUUGAGUGUAACUUUUUCUAAGCAGAGAAAUUCUAUACGGUCACGCUUGCAGUGAUUUUUUUUAAGCGGAGAAAUUCUAUGCUGUCACGCUUACACUACAAAUUCUAUACUGUUACACUUGCACUACGACAUUAAUAACAAGCCAAUCGUAUUUUUUUUUUGUUUACAAAGUAUAAUAAAAAUUUUUUUUUUUAUAAUCAUGAUGAGAUAUAUAUCUCUAAAGAGAAAUAUUUGAUUGAUAUGUGAUGUCACGUCAUCAAUAUAUCCCGUAUAUUUUAAAAUUUUUUCUCUAGGAGGUAGAAGGAAGAAGAGGUAAAAGAGAGGGGAAAUACUGGUUAAGAGAAUAAUAAUUCUCUUGUGAUACUACAGUAGGCAAAAUGGCUUGUUCUUUUCUUAGUUCCAUGAGAAAGUACUAAUAAAGAAAAGUAGUCUCUUUUUUUUUUUUUUUCGCAAAUAAUAUCACCUUGCGCUUACCAAAAUAAUACUAGUAAAGUGACCCACACAUUGCGAUUGACUAAUACUAUAAAAGACAGAAUGAUAAAGUUAAAUUUUUUAAAAAAAUUUAACUUACCACAAGACAUCAAUAAAUACAAAUAGAAUUAAAAGAAAGAGAAUAAAAAGAUCUUAUUUCAUUCCUUUUUAUUUUUUUGAAAAGUGGACAAAUAGAGAUAAGAGGAUAAGAAGGGGAAGCAUCAAAAAAAUGAGGGAAAAGGGGAGGGGAAAAAAAGGGUAAGAAUAAAAGAGGAACUACCCAUAUAACAAAUUUUAUAAAAAAUAAUGUAUAUAUAUAAAUAUAGAUUUCCACGCUCCCAUGGAAAAAUAGAAGCAUAUUUUUAGUCUAAUCGCAUGACUAGUAAUUUUAGCAGCUUCGCAGACACAAUUUCGCAGUCAAUUUCUCUCACUCCAAUGCAUUAUUUGGGAGCAAAUGCGAAGAUGAUUACGCGAGAGUCAGAUAAAAAAAUCGAAAGCAUUCGCUGAAAAGUUCAGAUUAUUGAAGCCAAGUUUGAAUCAGAUAAAAAAAUUCGGCACGGAACGAUUGAAUAAUUGUGAUCUUUAGACCUAACAAGAAACAUAAUCAUACCAAACCAUUUAAACACACAGAAGUAUACAUCUAAACAAAGAUAUUAGAAACCCAUACAUAAGUUGCUUUAUAGAAGUACAUCAUCUUAUGCAAAUUUCACACAUAAUAUCUUAGAACAGUGUUUGUUAUCAGCAAAUGAUCAUAGUACUUAGAGCACACACCUACGAAGCUCGUGGAAUAACCGGAAUGCAGUUUAUAAACAGAAGGGGGUAAAUACCAGUUAGGAGGUUACUACUUUUGCGAGGUUUGAAUCGCGGUCACGGUCGAGACCAUCGAGUCGACGCCGCAGACGUUGCGGCCCCUGCAGAUCCGGUAGUACCCGUCCUCGCCCCAGCUCUCGCCCCACGAGUUCUUUAUGAUCCAGUAGGGCUUCUCCUUGAAGCGGAUGGGGGAGUAGCCUGCGGAGCCGUAGCCGACGAGAAGAACACCGUGGUCUAAAUGCCUUCCGCAGAUGUACGGGCACGAGACUCCCCCGAUGUAUGUCUGCAUGAAUACUGCGUUGAUCCCGACUGCAGGUGAAGUGUUGUUUUACAGGAAGAUCAGCGACCAUUUCGGAUAUAUCCGAGUGAACCAACUAAGUAUUCAUGAGGAUAAUUUAAAUUCGUGUUUCCGAGCUCGGAGCUUUUGACGGCUGAAUAUUCAAACUAGUUACUGAUAUUUAUGUAACUAAAGAUAUCUUACAAAUGUAUACCCGCAAAAUCAUAAUCAUUAAUGUAAGUGAAUGAAGUGGAUGAUACCCCGGCUUUAGAUAAGGACAUUUUUGUAACGAUCAGCGCUUUUUCAUGGGUAUAUAUGAAAAAUUCAGAGAUUAUACGGGCAUUAGUGAAAAUGUAUUAUUACUUUAACUAAUGAAAAGUACUAGCAUUGGUAAUGAAAUAUAUAACCACAGAUGAUUUACUUGCGAGAGGGCCGUGUUUCACGAGAUUGGCAGCGAUUUGAUCUUCGUCGAUUGAGACGACGCUGAAGUUUUUAACCGAGGCAGCGAUCUUGGAUUUGUCGAAUUUGCAGCUGCCUCCGUCUGUCCCGGUGUAAGGGUAGUCUGCCUCGCUCUCCAGGCCGCCAGAUUUUAGCAGGUACUCGAAGGCGGUAGUCAUUAGCCCGCCAUUACAUCCUUGGUCACAUGCAUCCGCUUCUGAUGGAUCGCACUGCAAAAUGUACAUAACAGUGCAUGUAUGAGACAACUGAUUUGAUUUAACAUCCAGCUGGGCGAAGCGCAAAGCUCAAACCUAGAAAAUACGUCAAACACUCGAGGGUUACAAUUUCUUUUUUCGUUGUCAACAUAAGGAAUGGAUAUCGAUACAAUAUCACUUGGGUAGCCUCGAGAGUUGUUUUCACUUGAAGUCGGUUACCCACACUGCGAGUAUUUACCAGAGACAAGAGUCUAGUAGAAGAUACCUAGACUGCCUUGAAAAAGAUGAUUUUACCAACAGUUUUGGGUAGUAUAUUGAAAAUUCUAUCACUCAACUAUCGGUUGACAGUUUAUACUAACCAACAAGAGAAAGCCAAUGUCCAAAAGAAACCUAGCUAAAGUUGGCUGUCAAUAAAAAGGGAGACAUUAACAAAGGAAACUACUUAUGCGACAAACCAUAAGUAAUGAAAACUAAUCUCAAUAAGAAAACAACAACAAUGUUUCCACAAAACAACAAAUCUAAUUUUCCUUUUGUUUUAUAGUGAUAGGCAAGAUGAGAGGAUUCUGGUUUACGCUACAAUAAAAACAAUAAUUCCUUCAAUAUCUAGGCCUGUGAUUACGGUAGGCUAUCGAAGGACCCAAUAAUAGUCCAUAAUUAUCCUCUGCAUGUGUGUAAAUAAUUGUGUCCUCACACUAUAAGCUUUUGGAUUAUCUGUGAUCUAAUGAAAGAGAAAGAAAUGAAUCCUCUGGAUCUAGACGUCUGAUCUCCUUGAGAAGAUCAUCGAAGAAUCCUUGAAAAGAUCAUCCAUUCUUUGUCUUCUUCUUGUAAUGUUUUGUCUCGAUCUUCUCAUUUUACUUUAAUUCAACAUAAAGAAAAGUUAUUAAAAACUCCACGUGGAGCCUCAAAUCCUUCAAUUAGAAAUAUACAAGUAUCAUUAGUACAAAAAGGAAUCAUUAAUUCUAAUCCUCUACUUUUCUUCUGAGUUACAUAGUGAAAGGAUUUCUUGCAAGUAGAUGACAAAAAUCUUACACUGCUAAAAUAGCAACGCAAAAACAGGAAAAUACAAAACCUAAUAACACAUAAGGUAAAAGGACAAAGCGGAAAAAUUAAUUAAAUCAACACCAUUAAGAGAUUAGCGGAGCUAAACAGAAAGAGACCUCAUGAUCACAAUCGACGAGCUGCUGCUCGCUGAGGCUCUUCAGCUUUCCGGUGGCCAGAAAGUUUGCCCCUUCCAACGCCCCCGAUGCACUGAACGACCAGCACGACCCGCACGAACCCUAAACACAUAACGAAUCACAAGUCACAACAGUUGAAUGAUUUUUUGUCCCACCAAAAAUAGCGAGAAAGAUAUAAUUUCAUAACCAGAAAAGUUCAGAUACUCAAUUAAAAUCAAAAGAUAGCCCUAAAAACUGCACUUAAUCACUCUCUAAAUCAAAGCGCCAAAUUUUACAACCACAUGGCUAUAGUUUCAAAACCCCAUUAGGAUUUACCGUUGAAAUACCAUCAAAUUGAGCACGUAACUAUCAUCAUUUUACUCAUUAAACCAUUAGAUCUUACACAAAUUAGUGAGAUUAAGCAAAAUUUUAAACAUAUUAAAUACCAUUUUAAACAGGAAAUCACAUACUCAAUUUGACAAAAAUAGCUACAUAAAGUUAAAACUAGAAUAGAUCUGCAUCGCCGGAGUUCGUAAAAUUUGCGGUUUUAUCUUCGAUUUCUCUCUAUUUUCUUCUGACGAGUUACACGAUUAUAAUUAGAUGCAUUUAUAUCAUAAUUAGGGACUAAAAUUAUACUUUAGAUUAUCAUGCGUCGCACGCGAACUACUACUACUACAAAUAUGCAUAUAUAACAUAAAAAGCACAAAUCGAGAGGAUUUGGACCUGAUUCUUGACCCCGGUGACGGCGCCUUGAUCCCUCCAAUCGAAAUCGGAGGGGAGAUCGUUCGUGGGGAGGAUCGGGGCCUCGUGCGAGGAGCCGAAGAUGCUGCCGCCGACGCCGCCCUUCUUCCGGCGGAGGCCGAGGAAGGCGCGGCGGAACUCGGCGGGGGUGAGGUCGGAGAACUGGGUGACGCCGUGGACGGCGCCGGGGUCGAGCCGCUGGUGGCGGCGCGCGCGGCGGAGGUUCGCCGCGAACACCGAGCGCCGGUGCGCGCGCUCCUCCGCGCUCGCGUACGAUCUCCCGAACCGCCGCUCGAAGCUCACGAAGUGCGCCUCCACCGCCGCCGCCCCGAGCCCUAGAUGGCCGCCGCCGCCGACGCCUCCCUCCUCCUUCGCGUCCGGCACCACCUGGAGGAUCAGCGGGUCCUCCGCCUCCGCCUCCACCACCGCCGCCGCCGCCGCGGCGGAGGAGACGACGAGGAUCGAGAGGAAGAGGAGGAGGGGGCGAAGGAGAGGAGCCAUGGAUGAGGGUUUGGGGAUCGUGUAGCUUCUCCGACACGCAUUAUAUAGAGAAAGAUGUUGACGAGGUAAGGAGAUGUGGGUACAAAAUAACUUCCCCAAUAAGAUUAAAAAAACGCAAUUCCAAAUUUACCCCUCCACAACUUCAAAAUAUCAUCAAUGCCCCUCCGAAAUCUAAAAUUACCACUAUUACUCCUCUAAUAAAUAUCCAAAAUUAUCACCAGUAUCUCUCCAAACAUGCAGGCUAAAUUACAGAAAGCUCCCCUGUCGAAACCUAAUUUUUCACUUUCUCCUCCUAUCAUUUUAAAACCUACACUUUACAUUCUUAUAAAAUAAAAAAUAUUCGCUUUACUCUCUACUGUUAGUGAUCCAUUAAGUUUCCGUUUAUAAAAUAUUAUUAUAUAUUUUUUUAUGCCAAAAUUGCCCUCAGCCUUCACAGUUUAUAUGCCGUAACCCCUGUGACCAUUUUUCAUUUUACAAAGAGGUAAAGUGUAGAUUUUUAAAUGAUAAGGAGGAAAGUAAAAAAAUCGGGUUUUUGACCGAAAGAUUUUAUUUAAUUUAGCCAAUAAAACUAUUAUUUUUAGAAUAUCACCAAUGGCCCUCCGAAAUAUAAAAUAUUACCAAUACCCCUCUAAAUAUCUAAACUUAUCACUAAUACUCCUCUAAAUAUAUAAAACUAUUAUCAAUAUAUAUUUUUUUAGACCCCAAAUCCUGUUUGGUUCUCUAAAAAAUAUUCCAGAUAACAAUUUUUUAGCUGAAAAACUAUUUCCAUUUAUUUGGCUGUUAGAAAAAACUACUUUUCUGAAAAAAAAUAUUUUAUUCAAUUUCAUAGAAAACUAAAAUAUCACUAAUGGCCCUAUGAAAUUAAAAUAUUACUAAUACCCCUCUAAAUAUCUAAACUUAUCACUAAUACUCAUCUAAAUAUAUAAAAUUAUUACCAAUAUAUUUUUUUAGACCCCAAAUUCUAUUUGGUUUUCCCAAAAAUAUUCUAGAUAACGGUUUUCUAGCUGGACAAUUAUUUUUACCUAUCUAAUUUUUAGAAAAAAGAACUACUUUUUGAAAAAAAAAAUGUUAUUGAAUUUUAUAGAAAACUAAUAUUUUUUAUAUUUUAAAUUUUUUAUUUGAAAAAAAUGGUGAAAAGGAAAAUCUUUUCUGAAAAAUAGUUUUUCAAAAUAAUAACAUUUCCACAGCUUUUUGAAAAAUAACUAAUCUCCUCAAGUUAAUAAUAUUUCUCAAUUUAGAAAAAUAUUUGUAAAGUACACACCCUUCUAGAAAGGUUAUUAAGAAAAUUUAAUUCCUAGAGAAAUUAUAUGUAGAGUUCUUUACUAUUGACCAUUUAAGAAUAUGCUUGCGAAUAAUCUUUUUGGUAAAAUGGAUAGAAUUUGUUUGAACUACAUACCAAUUUGAUUCAACCAUUCAAUCUUUUAAUAUUUUAAUUUUAGUAUUUAAUUUUUUAGUUUAUUUGAUCUAAGAAAUUUGAUGGAUAUAUUUACGCUAAUUGCUUCAUUUAUAUAAAUUAUAUAAAAUAUUUAUAAACGAUAAAUUCAAUUUUAAAAAUAAAAAGUUAAUAAUUGACUCGAGUUUAAUAAAUUAAAAAGAUUAGACAAUAAAAUUAAAAAUUUUAAAAAUUAGUUCGCCGAUAAAAUUAGUAAAUUUUAUAAUUUUUUUAUUUUUUUAAGUAAAAAUAUAUAAAAAUAUGUCAGUUGUGUAUUGUUUCGAAAGCAUUUGCAUACAUCGCCUAAUUUGACUAAUAAAAGAGUAUUAAUUAUAAGAUAAUAUUUAUAAUUUACGAAAAUAAAAUUAAAUUAUUAAAUUUUAAAUUUUAUAAAUUAUUAUAGAAUUUGUUUGCAAGCACAAGUAGCCAUGCUAUUUAUUUAUUAUUUUUAUUUAAGUGCCCUCUCUUAAUUUUUUUGAAUUUUAUGGUUAAAGCUAUUUUUAACCACUUUUUGGGCUAAUAAUAACGGUAUUUGAUGGAGGGCAGUUUCGUAAUUUUACACACAAGAUAGAGAAAAUUUCAUGGGUUCGCAAUAAUUUGGGGACAUUAUGGAGCCGCGUAGGGGACUAGUUUUGGGCCAAUCAUAUCGGUGCCGUAUAAGUGUACCCCUCUGCAAAAAGUCGCGUGUUGAUUAGUGCCAUUUGAGCCGUUCGAUGCGCGACACGUGUCCGUCCGCGAACCAAAUAAUAUCUUCGAGAGCGUUUGGUGAAUCGAGCCCCUGGAUGGGCCCCACGUGUCCCUUUGAUGCUUUUUUAAAAAUUGGUCCACUUUGUCCGAGUAUCUUAACUCGGCAUUAAAUGGACCCGGUGUACGAACUUCGAGAAUUUCCCUGAACCGGGUGCAUCAGUACAUUCCAUGCACCAAAUUUUAUACAAUUUUUUUUAGGAUGAUUUAAUUUGUUUUUCUAUCUAUCUUUUUAACUAAUUUUAUUUGAAUCAUUCAGUGAAAAUGUUUUAUAUUAGUUAUUUACUUCCAGUAAUAUUUUAUUUUAGUGCACCUAGUUCAUCUGGAAGUUGGUAAACCAUAUAUCUAUGGACCUUCUAUUCAUCUCAAUUUUUGGAUUCUAUAGUCUAAUUUAUAAAUAAAUAAAUAGAAAUAAAGAAAUAAAUGCUAGUAUAUGAUUGGGCAGAUGCACUGGGUGCAACCAACAUGUUACACUCCAAUUAUAAAUGGUAUAAAUAAAAAUAAACUAGGAAUGUAAAUCGAGCUCCCGUCCAGAUACGCUCCGAAUAGAACGAUAUAUGAGGACCAAUAAUAAUAAUAACAAUAAUAAUAAUAAUAAUAAUGAUUCAUUCUAAAUUCAUCUUAACAUGCUAAAAAAUAAGUUGGAUCGGACCUGAUCCAUUACUUAAAUAUCUGUCAAAAGUUCGCUUCUGUCUUGAUCUGUCAAAAUAGAGUGGUAAAUAAAUACAAGCGAAAAAAACAAAAUAAAAAUCAAUCACAAUUUUGAAUUCGCUCCGACCCGUGAAGAAAAUGGGACGGGACGCGGGAGACCCGACAAAAAUUUUAUGAAGAUUGGCCCCAGAGUGAUUACUUUGCCCAUCAAAACUGGGCACCCACUGCUCUCCCAAGUUGGGAGUGAGAAAUUGUUGGGUGCAGUGUACCAUAUACUUAUAAAACUUUUUUUAUUAUUACUUUUAGGGUUUAAAAUUUAGAUAUUAGGUUUUAGGAUUUGGGUUUGAGAUUUUAGGAUUUAGGGUUCAGGUUUCAUCAUUCAGGUAUUUAGAGUAGGGAUAUCUAUGGGUUGGAUUCCGAGCAGAAUUUUUUAAAAAUCCGAACCCGACUAUGAAACUCGAAAACCUGGACCUGAGUCUGAAUCCGACGGAUUUCAAAAAUUCAUAUCCAAAUCUGAACACAACCAAAAAUCCGAAAACCCGAACAGAAAACAAUUAUUUCUUUCCUCUCUUUACAAUGUUUCAAAACAUAUUACAAUAAACCUGUCUAAAUUUUUAAAAUAUAAAUUCAAAUGUAACAUCAAAUAUUUAUUAUAUAAUGUAAAAUUAAUUCCAAAUUCGUUGGAUUUUCAUUUUUUAUAUUCAUAUUCGAAACUACAUUCAUUUAGUAUAAAAAAAAAUUCGCUCCGUUCGAAUUCGGAUUAAAUUUUGGAUAUCCGUACCCAUUGACAUCUCUAGUUUAGAGUGCAGAGUUUUAUCUUAUUGUAUACGUAGAAUCUUAAUCUAUACGUAGAAUCUUAACUCUGAAACUCAAAACUUUAAAUCCUAAACCCUAAACACAGAUCCUAAGAAAAUAAAAUUUUAAAAAAAAUUUACAAGUACAUGGUACACCCGGUGCAAUAAGCAAUGAAUCACCAUCUAUCAACUUCAACAGUUAAAAAUUUCUAAUGUCAAAUUUGAAAGUUCGAGGACGAAAUUAAUUAAAGAGUGGUUUAAAGGUCAAGGAUUAUUGGUGCAAUUAGCCCAUUCUGAAAUUAAUGCAUUUCCUAUUCCUUAAACUGAAGCACCCAUAAUUUACACCAACAAUUACAAUAUUGGUACUACUAGUACUUAAGGAGUAAUAUCCCACAUGCAUCUGAACUACUAUGUAGAUGCAUUUAUGAAAGCAGCUUCAUAUAUAUAUAAUAUUUUAUAUAAAAAAACAUUCAAAUACCACCUCUCCCUUUAGGGUGCGUUUGGUCUGUAAUCCUGUCAGGAUAACUAUAUUUGAUUAAUCCGUUAUGUAAUCUAAUCGUUAAUGUAAGAUUACAAAUCGAGCAGAAUUACAUCGAAAAUAUUAACGGGAGGGGGGUCGUGUAUCUUGCAUUACUGAAACCCGUUAAUACUACAUAUUAUGUGACAAUUUUACCCUCCAACAACCCCAAAUCUAAUUAACAGCAUUAUUUUCAUCUCUCUCUCGCCUUCCCCCCGGCCCUCUCUCUCGCACGCCGCUCUCUCUCUCUCUCUCUCUCUCGCACGAACACCUAUCAUCUUCUAUUGCGUCGUCCUCCCAAUUAAUCAUCACGAUCUCCUUCCAUCCAUUCGUCAUUUCCACAAAAAAUAAUAUUCAAAUGACCACAACAAGGGCAAUUUUGAAAAAAACUAUACUUUUAUGUCAGGAUUACUAAAUUUUAUAAACUGAACCAAACAUAUUAAUCCUAUAAACACUGUAAUCUAGUAUUACAUUACUGUAUUAAACCAAACGCUCUAAUGCAGCAUUAGUAGUAACCUCACGCCGAAAUCCAAGAUACCUGGAUAUGUCGAGAUACUUUGUAAUAUUACAUAACUCGAACCAAACGGGCCCUUAGUAAUAUGUAGUUUAAAGUGUAUCACUUUUGUACCCUAUGAUUUUAUUUUUCUCUUUAUGUUAUCCUCUUCACUAAUUUUUUUCGUUAAAUUAGUAACAAAGUUAAAACUAAAAGUUACUAAAGUGAAUAUUCAAAAAACUAUAGAUAGAGUAUCUGAAAUUUUUUGUAUAUGAUUUAAGAAAAAAUUAACGAAAGGACUGACGAAAAGAGAAAAAUAAAAUCACUUGGUACUACAUUGAUACACUUUAAAUCACAUGGUACUAAAAUAAGAAAGUGCAAAACCACAUGAAUGGUAAUUGAAGUUUACCCUAAAAUAUAUAUAUGUAUCAACAUUAAAGAAAAGAUGCAAUAUCGAAAGCAUAAAGGAUCCGAUGCAUCUGAUUUUUGACCCUUGAAUAAAAAAUUGAACGGUUGAAAUAAUUGCAGUCACCCCUAGAAUUGAGUAGUAACUCUAGGGUUGAGUGGUUCCCACAAAGUAAUAGUAUUAAUCCAAAUGUUAAAUGAUUAAAGAGACUAAUCUACGGGCCAAAAAGUCAGAAGUAUCGAAUCCUCUAUACUUCCUAUAGUAUAGUAGCUCCACUGAUACAUGCAUACAUAUAUAUAUGUAUAUGUAUGUGUACAUAUGGAGUGCAUCUGGUAUGCUUCUAGAAGCACGGAGCGCUCCGUUCUUACAAGUUAUUUUCGAUGUUGGGACUUUCGAAUCGACGAUCAGCUCCGUUAGACUUGAUCUAGAGUACUUUAAGUAUCUAGAAAAUAAAUUUUACGAUUUUUUGAUAUCAUUUGACUAGUGAUCGAAGUGGCUCAAAAUCAACGGCUGAAAAUAAAAAUCUUACAAAAUAUGAUGAUAUGACAUUAAAAUUUUAGAUCAAAAAUAUUGAUCUUGUUUUAUAUAGUAUAAAAAAUUUUCUAUCAAAAUUUCAUAUGAUUUGGAUAUUUCUACACUGUUAAACUUGCCAACGGCUCACCACGGCCAUUAAAAUUAUUGAUUUUGAGCCCCUUCAAUCACUAGGCAAAUGAUAUCGAAAAAAUCACAAAAUUUAUUUCUUAGGUACUUCAAAUAUUCUAGAUCAAGUUUAGCGGAGCCGAUCGUCGAUUCGAAAGUCCCAACAUCGAAAACGACUUAGAAGCACGAAAGGCUCCGUGCUUCCAGAAGCAUACCAGCUCACUCUGUAUAUAUAUGUAUAUGUAUAUGUAUAUAUAUGUAUUGUGUGUGUGUGUGUGUAUAUAUAUAUAUAUAUAUAUAUAUAUAUAUAUAUAUCCAGAAGAACCAGAACUUUGAUCCAUUUACAACUCACCACCUGACAUUUUUUAAAAAUUUGAAAGUAUUAUCUGAACAAUCAAAUCAAUUUAUCGAAAUCGAUUCCUCGGUUCAAACUUCCCCUUUAAUUUGCCUUCAACACAAUUAAUUUCAAGAAGGGAUAUAUAAGCAAGGCGAAACUUCAAGCUGUAGGUUAUAAUUCUUUUGUCUAAUUUAGAAAAAGUAUGACGAAAACUCGUAGAAGGUGAUUAAUUGCAACAUGCAGAUUGUUGAGGUGAUACAUUUGAACUUAAAAAACUUUGGGUGGCAAAUUACAGAUGGGCCAAAGUUGGAGUGGUUCGGAAAGUUUUUUCUGAAACCAAGCAGAGUAUACCCGCUUAAAUCAGGAGCUGAAACUCUUAGAAGAGAAAAAGAAACCAUGACAAAGGUUAAUAUUUUGCAGUUACACUACUAUAUUAUGAUGAUAAGAAACAACAAUUCUUAAGAUAAAAGCAUAGAAAAGGGUGCAUUAGUCUAAUUGUGUCGAAAAAGGGGAAAAAAAAGCAUUCCGUUUAUAAAGAUAUGGGACUAUUAGAGCAUGAGCAAAAAGAUCAUACGGUGUAACGGUUCUUAGCAACUUUAUCGUGUUUCUUCGCAUCAUCCUGCGACAAAAGAGUCAAUAGUGAGGAACCCACAAACUUAUUCUGACCAAACAUUACGCCCAAAAAAAAGAAAGACGAGAAGCUAAAGGCACUUACGUGAACUAUGAAACCGAUCGUGUCUUUGUAAUCUAGAAGCUCCUUCCAUUGCCUCCCAAUGCUUACCUGAUAUGGAGAAAAUGAAGUUGUUUUGAUAAAUGAAAUAAAAUGGAAAGCCACAUGACCUUUAUUAUGUAACGAAAGUAUGGCAAACAAGCAGUGAAAACUCGACGCAAAUGUAAGAAAGAUAAACCUAAUGGGUAGUCGACUACAAAUUAAGUCAAAACUCAUGGAACUUCACAUCAAUUUUUAUUUGUAAGAAAUGACAAUUCCCAUAUAAUAAAAAUUAUUAACUGUCAUUAACCAUCAGAAUAGACAUGAUGAUUAUCCCAGGAUAUCAGAAGUACGUAAAUAUCAUUUGUACAUAUCAGAUUGGUUAUAAGCAAUGAAAAAUAUGAAGACCGAUUUAUUGAGAGAAAACCUUAAAAAAAGAUAUGUCAUGAAAGAGAAAAUGCAUUAAAUUAAACUAAUGAAAACAUUCUUUACAAAGAAUAAAUAUUUAUAUACCAGUUCAAGCAGGUAAAUCUGGAGAUGAGAUAACUACCAAGUGUUCAAGAGAGGAUCUCAGCACGAAAUAUUUUUGAGGGAGUUAAUUAAGGAUUAACUGAUCAAUAAGAAAAAAAAUGUGUGACAUAGCAUCAUUACUCUUAAUCUGUCAAUACUUGCAGAGAAAAACUUUACCUGUGGUAGCAUUGAGUGAAGAUUAGCAUGGAAAUUGUUACCACUCUACUUUUUCAGGGAUCUACCGUGCAUUUUACUUAUUUGAAAACCUAAUUUGGCAAAGUUGGCUGAAGUUAUUCAUAAUAAAGUAACUAUUAGUUAGCUACAUGUGUCAUUUUAGUUAUCUCAAAACAGUCAAUAACUACCUGAAAUCAGAAAUUAGUGACAGAAAUGCAAUACAUUAAACUGAGUUAACAAGUUUGUACAACACUUUGUCAAUUUUCUAAUGUAAUGUAGUAUUGAUGCUGUUCGUACCUGAGCAGUUUCAUUAGCAGCAUUUUUUGUCCACACAGCUAUUCGUUCUUGCUUCCCACGUAUACUAACCACUGCUCCACAAAUUUCAUCACCAUAGUCGAAUUGCUCACCAAUCAUCGCCAAUAACUGACAAAAUAUUUCAAAGACGUCAAGAACAAUCAAUACAUGAUUUUGAAUACUAACGAGAUUUUUUUUGUUUUAAGGCAAAAUACAUACUGUAUGCAACCACAAUGUGUCUGAUUUCCCUCUAGUACAGCUAAUUGUCCACUUUCCUCCAUUAGCACAGAUCGGGUCUUCCCACUUAGGCUCAAUCUUGUGUUUGAAGCAAUGGAAGUCAGCACCCACAACCAACUUGCUCGGGUGGUUAAUAUUGUUGUAGAGGCUAAUGACCAUUUGUGACACAAUACAUACAUUUGACACAAUACAUACAAUUAGUAAAAGGCAAGGAUUUAAGUGCCCAUCGACACGGGCCGUAUCGUGCCAACAAGAUAUCGGUACGAUACAACCCCCGUACCGAUGGCACAGCUCAAAAUCUUCUAAUUCUUUAAAUUAGUAAGUAAUUUUCUCAAGAAAAUUCAAAAGAUUUGAUAAAAAUACAAAAUACACAGUUAGACUAUUUUGUUGUUAAAGAAAAUAAAUAUUUCAUGCUAUUAUGUGUCGGCACACAUGAAAUUUUUGUAAUUGACACGCAUCGACACGGUUUUCUACACACCAUGUCGUACCAUGCCGGCAAGUUUUCGGCAUGACCCCGUGCCACGACACUUAAAUCUUUGGUAAAAGGUAAUAGUUGAACGAGGGAAAAGAACAGUUGAUAGAUUAUAAUUCUUCGAAAAAUAUUUAAAAGGAAAUGAAUAUCAAUAUAGCCAAAUCACAUAAUUAACCAACAUUUCAUCUCUGAUGUACCCAGCAACUGAUUUUGAACAUUCAGCACUCCCUUGUAUAAUGUUCACAAUAUAUCACCAAUAAAUCACUGUUGCAGAGGGUCGUACCUCUCCAACACAAGCGCAUGGAUUUCACAGAUACAAGAAGUAAUUAGUCUAUGAUGCUAGUAUAUGAAAAAUCAUUUGAUCCUUGUAGAUUGGACAGGGAGAUCAACCAAAAUACAUUAUUGAUGUAUGACUACCCAAAUUGGACAAUUAGACUAAAGCGGCGUGCACGAAUUACCUUAAGAUGGUAUAUCAUUUGAUCUAAUAUCUAGAACCUACUUAUAUCCAUUUUCUAACCUUUGUACUUAUAAUUAACAUUUUCUAUUAGUGAUAUUUCGGAAGACUUUGAAGUCUUAGAAUUGUUAACAUAACAUUCAAACAAGGAAAAACAAGGUUAUAAUCUACUUAUGGAAGUGAAAAGCGUCAGCAAAUUUAUUGAGCUAUAGUUUGAUCAAAUAUCUAAUUCUGAGACACUUAGAAGAACAAAAGACAGUUAGGGGCAUAAUUAGUAAAAUAAGACUACUAGAAGAGUAAGGAAACUUUGUUUUCAAGCGGCUAAGUUUGUCAAUAUGGGAGACACACAAAACAAAUCAAUAACCUUAUUGAAGCAGUUACUCCAAUAGCAAAAUAACACAUUACGUGUGAUGUAUAUAUCGAAUAUCGAUACCCCUAAACCCAAUGAGGCGAUUUAUCUUAAUCCAAAAAAAUGAUGUGAAGGCCAAAUAUGAUAUCGAAUUCUAGAAUUCGAACAUAUUCCUCAUCUCCCAAAUAUACAAAUUUUCUGAGUAAAUCAAGCAAAUAUACGGAACAAGAUAUUCAUGCAUCCAAUUACGGCCUACAAGCUACCAAUAUGACAAUAUCUCGAACACUCACACAUAAUGCUUACAACAAAUGAUUUAAGUGCCCAUCGGUAUGGGCCAUAUUUACCGUGCCGUAUCGUGUCAACAAGAUAUUGGCACAAUAUGGCCCCUGUGCCGACAAACCCUCCAUUCUUUAAAUUAGUAAGUAAUUUUCUCAAUAAAGUUUAAAAGAUUUGAUAAAAAUACAUAAUAAACAGUUAUAAUAUUUUGUUCUUAAAGAAAAUAAAUAUUUCAUACUAUUAUGUGUCAGCACAUAUGAACUUUUUGUGACCAGCACGGCACGGCACGCCCCGUACCGGCAAGUUUCCAGCACAACCCAGUGCCACGCACUUAAAUCCUUGCUACAACAGUGCAAAGAUUGAAAAUUUAGACGAGAUUGGAAGAAAUUUACGAACUCCAGCAGUCUUCGACACCAGCAGUCUUUGACAGCGGAUUAGUUAUCACUGGAUAAUUUAUUCUGAAAAAUCUACGAGGGCUUACCAUCGAUAGCUCAAACACUUGCUUGUACGAGGAUUUUAGUAGCGGUAUCUCAAACAAUCGCAUAUAAUACUAAAAUUUAGACGAGAUUAGAAGAGAUUUACCAUUCUGAAAACCUUAGGAGGAUCGGAUUUACAAUCGAUAGCAUGAACACUUGCUCAUAAGGUUUAGAACAUAGAACACUUGCUCAUAAGGUUUAGAACAUAGCAGAGAGAAAGGGAUGUGAAUUGUGUUACCUCCAGAAGUCCUCGACGGUGGCGAAGGUGUGGAUGGGGCGCAGGGAGCUGCCCCACGCGGCCUGCUUCGACUUCCCCGAGGGGUUGUCGAACCAGAACGUCCACGCGUGCUCCAGCGGGUGCCCCUGCGACGGAGCCCCCAUCAUCCCCAUCCCAGCACCUCCUCCGUCCAUGGCGUCGCUCUCGAUCUCGCCCUCCUCCAUCUCCUCCUCCUCCUCCUCCUCCUCUUCCUCCUCCUCCUCCUCCGGCCCCCGCGGCGGCGGCGGCGCUCCGCUUUCUCUCUCUCUCAGCCUCUCCUCCGGCGCCACCCCCGCCGCCGCUGCCGCCGCCGUCGUCGUCGUCUCCGUCUCCUCCGCCAUGAGGGCUCCUCGUUAAAGCUAGGGUUCGGGCUAGCGCUCUCUCUCCGUAGCGAUGGGUGGAGUGGAGGGGAGGUGAUUUUGGAGCGCGCACCGCAACAAGGGUUUGGGCAUUAGAAACGUAGAAGGUUCGGGAGCUUAGUUUUUUUUUUUUUUUCUUUUUUUUUUUUUCUUUUUUAGAAAAAAAAAGAAAAAAAAAAGAUGGUAAAUAAAUCAUUAAAAAAUUAUAUAUCGAUAGCAUCAAGCGCUUAGUACUACCGAAUUUUUUGCCAUUAAAUUUAUCCCUUCUAUCAUUUCUAACUGUUACACCGUAUUAUUCAACUAACCACUCAUUCAACUCUAGAGGACCACUAUUAUUUUAAUUGCAUAUUUUUUCAUCCGAGUACUGAAAACCUAAUAGCACCAAUGAUUUGGUACUAUUAAUACUAUUAUCACGCCCCGAGACCGCUACCACUUUGGUCCGGUUCGAGCGCGUCGAACAGACGCCGGACGGACAGCACCUCCCCUGCCCGUCCAAGGCUAAGCAUCAAGAUUGUGUACAACAAGUUUCCAAAAAAAACAAUUUGAAUAUAUACACAAUCAACAACAACAGUGAGAGCACAACCAGUGCUAAACAUCACAAGAGCAAGCAUCACAAGUAUAUACAAAUGAACAAAAGAGAGAUACUAACUAUUACAUCCAUUUAACUCUUUAAUAUAUUUGAUUAACUUUACAUUCUCUCAAAACAUAACCAUAAAGUUUACAAUUCUCCAAAAUACCUCACCACCUAUGCAUCAUCCACACUCAUGUACAUAGGUAGCUCUAAUACAAAAGGAGGUCUCUACCAAACCACUAGGGCGCUAUGCCCUUACCACGAUUCUCGCCGGGGGUAUUCGAGCUCGACCCUGCAACAGAGUAGGGUGAGAACUAUUGUCCAUAGUUUUCAGUUGGUUCGGCUGCUGAUUCCGCCGAUCUCCCCACUAGGUCUAAGCAGGCAUAGAAAGACAGAUAGAUAGAUAGAUAUGUGUAUAUGAAAGCAACAACGAUAAAGUAGAAAUACAAGUAUCCUACUAUACCUCAAUCUGAUGUAAUGAAUGCAUGCACUACAUAGUAAACGACUAGCUAUCAUACUACUAUGUUCAAUAAUGAAGCUAUUCAUUAGAUCACCCAAUCACUCGGCUAGCUCAAAGGCUCGCCUUCAAUCUCACGCCUCAAUCCCAUAAGUGAGGAGACCCAAGCCGCUCGACUCACCCGGGACCGCCUGCGGACAGCUAGCUACUGCCCUAUUGUGUGACCAAACCUUCGGAGUGCACAGCUUGUGUGGAGAGAUCAUGACAAGCAUAUAACAGGCUACGCGAGCACGAUCCAAUCCUCGUCAACUGAAGAUACCCUACCAGCUAGGGUUGUCAUCAUCAUGGAAUCAAUGUAUUCCUAUACUCAGCAUCCUAGUGUCUCAACUACACUAAGGUUCUCAUAUGCCACUCGUUCUUAUGUUUACAUUUAACUAGAUGUCACUCGUUAUCAAUUAGGUAUUCCCAAUACACUAAUUUUCACAUCACUAGUUUUUCAUCUGCCUAGAGUCAAAUCCACAAUUUAUCAUCUCAUUAUAGGGUUCCAAGCCAUAUUGCACUAAUCUCAUGCCUCCUAGGUUCAAGUGCUAAGCCCAUUACACUAAUAUACCAAGUAGCAUGCAAGAAUGGAAAGCAACCAUCUAAGGACCCUAUAAUGCAAUGUCACAAUAUGUGAAUAUAGUCAAUAAUGAAGCUUAGACAUAGGGAGCAGUUCAACUGCUUCGGGAUGGCACCACCCACUUUUUGGCGAUGCUACGAAGUAGGGAAUCCAAUCUCACGAUCACACGUCGCCGCCUCGACCUCUCGAGCGGAAACGAAACCGAAACGCCCUCCGCUUGGCGAUAUCUCCGCGCCGAUUCGACGAAUCAUCGAACCAUCGUCGCCAACGCGCUUAGACAUCUAGCAAUUAGGUUUACAACCAACCAAAUGAGAUCAAACUCAUCGAUUUCUCAAAACCCUAAAUUGGAGCCCUAGGUUGCAACUAGUGCAAUCUACUCCAAUAAAACCCUAGAUACAUGCAAUUAGCACCUACUUAGCACCAUUAAGCUCCACCAAAAUCAUUUCUAGAGUAUUUAAACCCUACCCUAGAAAUCCACUAUUAGAAAGGUUAGAGCUUACCUCAAAAGCUUUGCCCUAAGCUUGAGAGGAAGUAGAUGGAAGUGAUGCUCUUACUCCUUGCUUCAAUCUCCACCAAGCCUCCUCUCCUUUUCUCCUUCCUUGAGAGAGAGAGCAAGAGCUCUAGAGAGAGAGAGGAGUGUUAUGUUGAGGAAAAAGAGAGAAUGAGGGAGAAGAGUGACUCCCAAACCUCUCUUAUAACGCAUAAUUAUCAAAACCUCUCUCAACUUUGCCUACAUCACCCAGCCCAACCUGGGCUAGUUUGGGCUACGGGGACCGAUCCCUCUAAGGGAGGACCGGUCCCCGAGAGCAGUUUCACCCACACGCUUACGAGGAACGGUCUCCUCCCAAAGGGACCGGUCCCCAAGAGCAUGAAAUAUGCAAUUAUGCAGAUUUUUGCAUAGUUGCUGCACUUUUUGCAUUUUCAUCGCAUUCGGACUUUCCGAAGCAUACCAAGUUAACGAUAAGUCAAUUCCAAAUGAAGCCCAACUCUCGGAUUUCGAGAAUUCACUUCCUUACAACUAUUCCAGCCAAGUUCCCUUUUAUAAGGAUUACAUAGAGAUUGGGGCAAUUGCUUAUAUACCCCUAAAAAGUUCUCAACUUUCUGAUUUACCCCUCUUAGAAGGCUAAUAUUGAAAAUACCCUUUCUACGUUCCAAUCUAUUUCUAAUAUACCCAUAGAGUUAAAAUCUGUUAAUUAAUUCUAUUAUCUUUGUAAAAUUACUAUUUUGCCCUUUCAAAUAUACCCUUUCACCAUCACUGACUUUCUUAUUUGCCCUUAAAGUCAGGGGCAUAAAAAGUACUUUGACUUUUGGUCCUUUUCAAUAUACCCCUCUACCGUCACCAACAUUUCAUAUUUGCCCUUAAGUUAAAGGCAAAAUUGGCAUUUUAAUUUUUUUUAACUGUGGUAGAUAUUUAACUCACUUUUAACUCAAGUUAACUUAACAGGAGAUAACUGCGGGGGUAUUUUGCAAUAACGGUGAAACAUAUGAGGGAUAUUUUAGAAAGAAAAAAAAGUAAGGACAAAUCGGAUAUUUUCAAACGUAUGAGAGGUAUAUAGGCAAUUAUCUCUAGAGAUUAAGGAGCAAUUUAGUUAGAUGUAAUUAAAUAUACAAUAUAAUUAAAAAUAUAUAUUAUUUAAAAUGCAGUAAUUAUAAUUAAAUGCACUUUAUUUGGUUGGAUGUAGUAAAAAAGAGUUGCAACUAUGCAUCUUAUUUUUUUUUUUUUAUCUUAGUGAAAAGUGUAUUUUUAAAAUUUUAUUAUUUUAUAUAUGUGAUAAUUAAAUUAACUCUUUUGUUGAAAAAAAGAAAUAUAUCUAAAAUGAAAAACUUUAAAUACUAUCCUUGCAAGUUUCACACUUUUUUACUUUAGUAUUCGAUGAUUUAAAGUGUAUCAAUUUAGUACCCAAUAGUUUCGCACUUUCUCACUUUAGUAGCCCGUAGACUCGCGGGAUUUUCGUAGUCUUUUGAAGAUCUAUAAAAAAUCAACCAAAUAACAGGAAAAGUUUUUUCCAACGAAAAAAUAUUUUUGGGAGUCAUUUUAUGAGGAUCCAAACACACCCUAAACCUAAAAAAAAAGCCCCCCUGUGGUUUAAAAUGUAUCAAAUUUUUUUCCUGUGGUUUCGUUUUUAUCUUUUCGGUAGCUUUUUCAUUAAUAUUUCAUUAAAUUAUAUACAAAAAACUUCAGAUACCUAUCUAGAUUUAUCAAAUAUUCACUUUAGUACCAUUUAAUUUUAACUUUAUCAUUGAUUUAAGAAAAAAAAUAAUAAAAUUGAUGAGAAAAAGGGAAAAAAGAAACCACAUGGGGACAAAUUAAUACAUUUUAAACCACAGGGGGCAGAGUAACAAACUACGAAACCACGGGAGGUUUUUUGAAGUUUUCCCAAAAAAUAACUCAUCUCUAUCUCCCCCCCUCUCGCGGACACACACCGCGUUCCCAGCGCCCGCACGCUCUGAGCAACUUCGAACGCGCCGAGGUCGCCGAGGGAGCAGGGACGAGCAUGGCGACGAGCGCGCGCGGCGGCGGCGAGGGAGAGGCGGCGGCGGGGGGCGGCGGAGGAGGGGGAGCUGCGGCGGAGAUGGAGGUGGAGGCGUACCGGCGCCUCUUCCCCGUCGCCUACUUCGAGCGCCACCUCCGCGAGUCCGUGCGCCUCGACGCGCGCCCCCUCGCCUCCCCGCGCGACACCUCCGUAGCCCUCGGCCUCGUCGGCUCCGCCGACGGGUCCGCCCUCGUCAAGUUCGGCGACACUGUAAAAACCCUAGCUUUACUCGUCCCUUUCGUUCUUUUUGCUCCUUCUAACUUCACUCGAUCGAGUGUUUAGAAGCCCGUUAAUUUUACUUUGUUUCUUGUUCAUUGCAAUGCGACCUAUAUAGUUUGAUUUUGGUAAAGAGACUCACAAGUUAUCUAAUUUAUGUUUGCUGCUCUGAUUUUGAUUAGUUUCCGAGGUUAAUUUUGUGAAUCAAGCUUAACUUUUUGGCCCUGCUUAUGCUUCUUUUCGAAGUAGUAGCUGUUUCUAGUAGAGCGAUUUGGCAAAGAGACAAAUUUGGAUUUUCUGCUUUACCAGGAAGCACAUUUUAGGUUUUGAGCCUCGGAAGCAGAAGCUCCAAUUCAGACAUUUUUGAUUCUACUGUAGAAAGAUGUUGUUAGUACAUUAAUAUACCGCUUUUUUCAUAGAAGAACUAUUCAGAUAACAUUUCAUUUUAAACCUUCGCCUGGUGCGUGCACCAACUGAUCGAUAAAAUGCUUCUGAGAACACAGACUAUGGUGGCUGCUAUCAAACUUGAGGUGAUGACCCCUCCGGCAGAAUCUUCAGAUGAGGGUUCCGUUGGUUCGUGCUCAAUUCCGUACUUUUCCUGGCUUUUUGUUUGUUUUCCUUUAUUAACUCUUUUCUUUGACAGCCGUCGAGUUCUACAUGCCGCCAAUUUGUUCUCCGACCGUUAGGCCCGGGAGGUCGGCUGAGGUGGCGCCCGUCAUCUCUAAGCAGUUGUCGGACGUCAUUAUGAGGUGUGUCAUCUCGCUUUCUUUCAUCUUCAAUUUGAACUCCCAUAUAAAGAGAGCAAAAUAUUAAGUAUUUUUACCCUGUUUGCAUGUGUUUAACGUUAUCCUUUUGAAUAUUAAGGCCCCAUACGGGUAUGCAAAAUAAGCAAUUUAAAGUUCGAGCUAUUUGGAGAGUGCAUCGUUAUGUCCGUGUGACUAGUUACUUCAAGCUAGCGAUAUGAAGUAAAGAAGCAAUUUACACAUCAUAUAAAUACGCACAUUACUGACCAUGCCGAUGGCUUAUCCUAAUUUGUUGUCAAAACCUAGCUGUAGUUUUUGUGUUCUGCUAUCUUUGCUUGUUCUUGCGAAAACAAAACUUGGAAAUGCAUCUCUAUACUAGUAUAGUGUUAUUGUCCAUGUAAUAUCUUUUGUAGCCUAAGCAGUUGCUUUGCUGUUUUGCAAAAAAUGAUCUUUCUUUAUAGUUUCCUAUCACUAUUAUAGAACUAAUAAUUUCCAGUCAAUUGCAGUUCUGGGAUGAUAAACUUGAAGGACCUGUGCUUAAUAAAUGGAAAAGCCUCAUGGAUAGCCUACUUGGUAUGGCUUCUUUUCCUUCUGAAUCAAAUAUCUAUUCCAAAUUUAGUCUAGUAUUUCCUUAUAUUCAUGUGAAUGUUGUUGUGGGAUGCAUAGAAUUUGAACUUAUUUCUUUUGCUAUGAAAUUAGUAGAACAUCAAAAUUGGUAUCCUGCACUUCCUAACUUUUUGUCCUAUACGUUUAAUGUUUGUCGUUAACCCUGUAAGAUUGCUCAAGUAUCUUAGCCGAGGCCAAGGAUUUCCGUGCCAGUCGGCAUGUUCUGGCAUGGCUGACGUGUGCUGCCUGAGCCGGUUAGUUUGCGCCAAAUGUGCCAACAUAUAAAUGAGGUCUGUUCCAAGGUGUCUCGAUAUGCUGUGCUGUGCGAGUGGCAUACCGACAUGCCCCAUACCACUGGCACACCAACAUGCUCUGUGCCAGUGGCACAGCAAUACUUGUCCAGGGGGUCCAGGACAAAUUUAGGAAACUUCUCUUACCCUUGUUGCUGCAGUUAUGAUGCUGAGAAUCACCUUCCUAAUGUCUAUUUGUAAUGGAAGGACCCUUUAUUAUUUUCCUGCUAUUUCUUUUUUUUUUUUUUUUUUUUUUUUUUUUUUUUUCUGUUUUUGACUUUUUAUUUUUAUUUUGCAGGAUAUCUACUGUCUGAAUGCUGACGGCUCUCUCUUUGAUGCUGCGCUAGUUUCAACAGUCGCUGCAUUCACACACCGUAUGUUACUAUUCUUGUCAACUACAGUUUAUAAGAUUUUAUCUCCUCAUUGGGUCAAACUUAUGACAUAUUCUAAAAGCACGAUACCAUGGCUCUAGUAGGAUAUAUGAUUCCCGUGGAAUAAGUCUUGCUACAUUUUAUGACAAUCAAAAAUAGAAUGUAAAUGUGGUGUCAUGACAAUUGAAAGAGGUGCUAUGCAUAAUCAACUAUAUUUCCCAAAAAAAGAGUAUACUUGGAGAUUAUCUUGUACUUCCUCUAAAUUAUGAAAAUACAGUGACUUUUACUAGUCUUGGAGCUUUAUCUAAGAUUGCAAAGUAGAAGAAGGAACUAAGUGAAAAAUGCCUUCACUAUAUUUGAUUUUAAACUAGCAUUUUCGUCUUAUUUAGUUUAAAACAAUAUUUAAGGUAGGUGACAAAUAUGUGGUGCAAACAUGAUAUAAUACCCUUUAAAAUCCCUUCUCUUAGAAGGGUUAGUUGCAGACACUCAACAAGCUCGAUACACCUGUAUUUCCAUACUGAGCAGAGUCAGCUAUAUAAUUCACCACUCAGUCCUAUGUUUUGUAGUACUCUAACUCUCUUAAAUUACCAUUAGCUUUAACUAAAUAAUCAGCUUGAUCAUAAGUUGGAUAAAUUAAGAUGCUCAAUCAAUCUUAUUAGUUACUUGUGCUUUUUUAUGAUAGCUGAUUAAAUGCUACAUUGCUUGUUUGAUAUCGUAGCCAUGUAUUCAUGUAGUUUCUACCUCAUUUAAAUUGUGAUUUUUGUAUUUCUAUUGCCAAUGCAUUUGUUUUCAUGUCCAUAAAUCACUAUUGAUCUUGAUCAUUUAGUGAAUUUGAACUGGUUUCGACAGUGGAAAUCCCUCUAGUUUCGGUCAGUGACGAUGGAAGAGUAGUCACUGUGCCGGGGGAACUUGAAGGCAAAACUAAACUUCCGUUGGUCAACAAAGAUAAGAGGAAGCUCAUGCUCAACAAUGUCCCCUUUUCCCUCACAUGCGGACUCCAUAAGGAACAUAUCUUGGUAGAUCCCACUGCCGAAGAGGAAUCCAUAAUAGAGACCUUUGUUACUGUCGUGCUAGAUACUUUGGGUCGCGUCGUUUCUGUAUACAAACCGGGAGGUUCUGUUCUUGCCUACACAUCGAUUCUUAAGGUAAUUCCACCAUUUUCUUCUUAGAAUAGUAACUUGAGGCCUAUUUGGCUGAAACUGGAGCUUUUGUAUAAGUAUUAUUUCAGUAGAUUUUAUUCGAAGAAGCACUUAUAAUUGUUUUCGUUAAAUUAUCUUCAAAUUGAAGAUUUUACUUUUGGAGCCUAAAAACUCACUUUAGCUUACUACUCCAGCUAAAGCUCUAGAUUAUUUGUUAGCCGAAUGCCUAGUUUCUAUAUGCUUAUACUUUUUGUAUAAGAGAAGCUAUUGUGGAAGCCACGUUGAGCAUGUAGUUAAGUUGAAUCUAUCGAAGGUCAUUUAGUACAAUAAGAUAGUGCGAGUUCAUAGUGCUCAGAAUUCCUAUCCUCUCAUUGCUCUUUAACUGUCAUGAGAUACAUUACCAUUUCCAAUUUUCACUAAGUAAAUUAUGCGUACGCAUGUAGCUUAACUGUUAAUGGCAACCCCAGUUUAUCCUUAGUUCUAAUGUACUUGAAGGUUAAUGACUUUGAUUCGGUUUCAGGAGUGCAUCACUCUCGCUAAACGUAGGGCGCAGCAGCUAAGGAAUAUCUUGAAUGAAUCCGUUUCCGCCAUGGAAGUUGAUAAAUCUUCGUAAGUACUACUAAUGUUAAUCAAAUCACUUUUUACGUAUUCUUUUCUGAUUCUGAAAUGUGAAAAGGAAACAUCUGUUUUUGUGCGAUACAUUUAACCUGUUACAUCAAAUAGUUUAGGGAAAAUGUUAGAAAUAAUAGUGAUGUGAUGUGACAUGCUAACAACUUAUGAGAAUGGGAAUUGGCAUGUAUCUGAGUUUAUCUUCUUUGAUUGUGUUUAUAACUUGAAAGUUUAGUUAGAUAAUAUAACUCGAAAGUUGAUUCAUUAGCUGCGCUUGCAAGCGAUUCAAUGACGAAGAAAAUUUUUUGUAUGGGCAUGAUUUUUUUUUAAAAUUUUUUGCCUUAGUUAUUCUGAUUCGAUAAUUCGAUGUUGGAAGUAUAUUGAUUGUUUCUCAAGCAGGUACAAUUGGUAAAAUACAGUACAUGUUACACACAUUAUAUAAAGUCACAUUAUAGAGUUAAACUUAAAAAGUGUCGAUUUUUAUAUAAAUAUUCAUCACAUAUUUAUAUAGAUUGAUUCCUAAUUAUUAGUGUUUUUUUUGGGACAAAAUAGUAAAAUUCGUAAUGUGCUUAUAUUUAUGCUAUUUUGUCCAAAACAAAUUUCUCCCUUUUUUUUUUUUUUCUAUUUUUUGCAUCUCUCUUUUGCAAUUGUUAGCUCUUAGUCUUUUUAUGGAUUAAGUUUUGAUUUUUUUUUUUAAUUUUGGAAUUUGGAAAUAUAUAUUUAAUUUUAUAAGAAAUUUCUAACUUUAGCAAAAUCAAGAAUCAGAUAGUUCUCAAAAAUAUAGAAAUUCUUUUUUCUAAAUUAGAAUUUAUAAUAAAUAAUUGGAGAGAUAUUUUUAUUCUCUUUUUAUUGAACAGUACUAUAUUCACAUCUUUUGUUAGAGUUAAACUCCUGUACUUUUAGAAGCAUGAAAGUGUUUGUGUUUGUGAUUUUUUUACACGUUGGAUCGCUUCAAAAUUCGUACAACAUUGUUAAUAGUAGAUUCUGUUAAGCAUUUUUAAUUUGGUAUUUUAAAUUUUUUAAAUUUGAAAUUUCAAAUUUUAGAUUUUUAAAUUUAGAUUUAAUCUUAAAUUUUAAAUUUUAAAUUUAAAACCUUGAAUUUUAAAAUUUGAGAUUUAAAAAUUUAAAUUUAAAUUUUGAAUUUUUAAAACUUAAACGUUAUAUAUUUAAAUUUAAAAUUUAAAAUUUAAAAUUAAAAAAUUUAAAUCUUAAAUAGAAUAUAAGGGUCAAUUAUUAUUUUUUUUAUUAUAAACUAUCUACUAUUCUUUUUAUUUUAAUCUUAUCAAUCAAAAGUUAUUUUCUUAUUUUAGAAACAACUCAAUUUCUAUCCAUACGUAAAAUUAGUCUAUCUUAGGACUUAUUAUGAAUUUAUACCUAUUCCUGAAAUAGACAGUUUUUGUUUAUUCCGAGCAAAUGAGUUAUGAGUAUAGAUUUUUUUGUGCUCAUAAGUUUUUUGAUCGGUUAGAUCUAUUUCUUUGAUCAUUUUUAUCCGUUAAAAUUAUUUAUUUUAAUCGCAUAUUUUUUUUAUCAACGGUGUCGAAAAUUUAUGAGUUAUAAAAGUGUUUUAUUAUAUUAUAAAAGUACAGUAGUUCUAACUUAUAUAUAUAUUUAAAGAUGUUGGUGAAUUUAGAGAAAAUAUUUCAAUAGUCUAAGCCAUUUGAUGAGUUGACACUGUUGCAAUUAAGCAGGAGUGUCGAAGCCUUCAGUUAAGGAAUAAGAUUAAAGAUGAGAAGAGGUGUAUAAAGAAGAGGUUAUUAUUGAACUCGCCAUUUGAAUUAAAUCUGAAACCACAAAUAAUAUAAUAUUAUAAAUUAUAAAUUAUAUUAAUAUAAAAUAAUAAUAUAUAUAUUAUUUUUUAUGUGUCUAUGAUGAAUGGGGUGCAGCUAAUAAUUUAAUAUAGUAACAAAUGUGCAUAAAAUUAAUAAUACAAAAUUUUAUACAUUAAAAAAUUCUCAUGCCCCCUAAAAAUAGAGUGGACACGUACGUAACCAAAAAUGCAGAGCUGCAUCCUGAUGGACCCGGUCUACCGCAUCAUACAAUCGCAAACCAAUCAAAAUGCAAUACGUGGGACGUCUAAACGAGCCAAUCACUCACACGCGGUCCGGUGUAUACGCCACGGUGCACGUAAUAAUUUCUCUCAUGCAAUGCAACACUUUCUCUUGCGUUUUUAGCUUCUCCAAACACAAACCCUAAGAAAGGGGGAGAGCAUUGUGCUCGCAAAUGGAACACGAGGAGGAGAGAGUUCCGGCCACCGCCGCGGCCGACACGGCCGCUUCGAAGACGGUGCAGCGAGACGCGGGUGAUCACGACGCAGAGUGCGGAAUAAAAGGGCGAGAGGAAGCAGUCGCCGUGUUCGCGGUACAUCGCGACAGCAAACAGAAGAAGAAAGAAGCGGAAGCAAAAGUAGAAGCAGAACCAAAAGGGCUUCCGCACCAGCAAGUUGUCCAGCCCGAAGACGUCUACAAUGAGAAGCUGGAGCAGCUUUGAAUUCAUAAGGCUUUUUAUCGCUCUUCCUGCUUUCCUCGCUUUUUUAGGGUUUUAUAUAGGGGAAACUUCAAAAGCCCCUUCUGUCGUUUCGUAGUUUUUCAUUUUGCCUCCCUGUGGUUUAAAAUGUAUCAAAUUGCCCUCCUGUGAUUUCGUUUUUAUCUUUUUGGUAGCUUUUUCGUUAAUAUUUCAUUAAAUUAUAUACAAAAAAUUUUAGAUACCCAUCUAGAUUUAUCAAGUAUUUACUUUAGUACCCUUUAAUUUUAACUUUAUCAUUAAUUUAAGAAAAAAAAAUAAUGAAAUUGAUAAGAAAAAGAGAAAAAAGAAACCACAGGGGGGCAAAUUGAUACAUUUUAAACCAUAUGGAGGCAAAGUGAGAAAUUACGAAACCACAUGGGAAGUUUUUGAAGUUUUUUUUUUUUAUAUAUGUAUCAGUUUUUGAAGGCUUUUUACUGCUGGUCAUGUGUUCCUUUUUUUUUUUUCUUUUUUCUUUUUUUUUUUUUUCAGGUUACGAGAAUUUAAGAUGUCAGAGAAAAAUGUUCCAAAUACUUUUUAUUAUAUCUGGAUUCGAGACCUUUUAAUAGAUUUAAAACCUGAAAUUGAACUAAUCAGAGAAGCAUUUUAUUGUUUGUUUCUCCUACGGUGAUUUAAUUUUAUUAUAAUUUUAUAGCAUUGAAAGAGAAAAAUUUAAGUGAAAAUAUGUACUUGUAGACGCCGCAAUUUCAAAUCAGGCUCCAUAAUAAAAUUUGAGUUGCGAUAAUUACUUUUUUAUAUAGUUUAAAACAAAUAUUCUAAUAAUUUGUUAUUAUUACUACUAUUUUUAAUUUGUUUUUGAAAAUGGGCUGAGCAUUACUUCCUUAUUGCAUAUAUAUAUAUAGAGAGAGAGAGAGAGAGAGUUAUACUACUACACUAUCGAUAGGACCAAACGCUAAAUAUUAUUGAGUUUUUGGCCGUUGGAUAAAAGGAUGUAUCGUUAGGAUAAUAGUGAUCUAUUUUCUCAAAAAAAAAAAAGAAUAAUAGUGAUCUUCGAUUAGAAUGAUAUGACAGUCGGACUAUAUACAGGCUCCUAUAAUAUCUAUAGUAUCGAAACUUUGGUACUAUAUUCUUGUUUUCGAUUUUAGGAUAUUCAAAUUAACGAUCCACAUAGUUAAAAUUGAUUUAGCAUAUUUAAAAUUUUUAGAAAUAAAAUUUUAUAUAUUUUCGAUAUAGUUUAACUAUGAUCAAAUUAUUUUAAAAUUAUCAAGUUUCAACUACUAUUAUGGCGAGUUUGUAAUUUAACGGUGUAAAAGAAUAUAAAAUUUAUUCAAAUUUUAAUAAAAAAUAUUUUAAACUGCCUAGAUCAAGUUCAACAUCUUUGAUCUUGAAUUCAAAAGUCCUAUUUUCAAAUUUUAAAAAUUAUUCAUUUUUUACCGUUUAUUUUGACAUAUAUAAUUACUUACUAAGUAAAAGAUAUCGAAUAAAAUUAAAAUUUUAUUCCUAGGCUUAUCAAAAUCAUAGUUAGUUAAUCCGGAUUCAGCAAACAUUCGAUAUGGAUAUAAUACCCAUAAAAUUCGUUUUCUAAUGUUUAAAUUCAUUGAAAAAUUAGGCUUAAAAAACGGAUUAGGCAUAAAAUAUAAAAUAUAAGAUAAUCUAUAUUUAAACAUAAAAAUUAUAAAUUUUUUAUUCAGAUUUUCAGGGAAUAAUUCGCGAAUAAUUCGUGAAUUAUUCGGCUGGUCUAAAAAUUCGUGAAUAAUUUUCUUUCUUUGAAUAAAAAAUUCAUAAAUGAACCAUUUAAUUUAAAAUUUUUAAUAAUUUAUGAAUAAUUCACCAAUAAUUCGCGAAUUAACUAAUAAAGAUUAAAAUAUCUAUAAUAAAUAAUUUAUGUCCUUUGCUUUGUUGGAAAAGCACUUUUGUGGCACCCUUUGAUUUGAUUUUGGAACGCUGCAAUUGUUUCAUUUUCCUGUGGACUCUUUGACCAUUAUCUGUUGAUAUAAAAAAUCUAAGAAAAAUGCUACCUUUUAAAAAUGGGUCAAUUUCAUUUGUGCCCCUCUAAACUUCAAAAAUAUCAUAAAUGUCCCUAUAAAUUUGAUUAUAUCACAAUUACCCCUACAAAUACUUAUUAUUUUUCAAAUAUACCCUUACCCUAACUAUUUAUCUCUUUAUAGAAUGAUAAAAUAUUUAGAUUAUCAUAAAUAUGGUCAAAAUGUCCAUUUUGCCCUUAACUUCUAAAAUUUUUUACAAAAGUAUUUUAGCAUGAUAUAUUUAUUUUAAAAUAUUAAAAUAAACAGUAAAAUAUAUCAUUUUACUGUUGUGUGGUUUAUAAAAUAAGAUACUUUAUAUCAUUUAUUUUAAAAUUCGAGAUGCCAAAGUAUAGAAAUUUGUGCUAGUUCAAAUAACUUAAUUCACAUCAUGCAUAUAUAUUUAAGUUAUAUUUUGAAUAAAUUGUUUAACCUUAUUUUAAGGAAUUGAUAAUAAAUUAGUGUAAAGGUUAUUUUUGAAAGUUUCUCCCUUUUAAAAGGUUAUUUAUGAUAUUUCAAUUUUUAUAGGGGCAUUCAUAAUAUUAGACUUAUUUGGAAGGGUAGUGAUGAAAUUUUCCCUUUAAAAAUGAACAGAGCCCCCUAACCUAUAGUUGUUUUUGAAAAAGCUCCUCAACUAUUUUUGUUUGGAUGUGUGCCUCAUUCAAAGCUAUAUAUAAAGUGAAAACAGCUGUUUUUUUUAGUGGACUCAUUCAAAGCUUUUACGAGUUACUUUAAAUUAUUUUGGGAAAACUUCAAAAAACCCCUUGUGGUUUUGCACUUUUUCAUUUUCACCUUUUAGUUUAAAGUGUAUUUAGUACCAUGUGGUUUCGUACUUUUUUACUUUAGUACCCUGUGAUUUAAAGUGUAUCAAGUUAGUACUCUGUAGUUUUAUUUUUAUAUCAAGUUAGUACUUUAUGAUUUUAUUUUUGUAUUAAGUUAGUAUCCCGUGGUUUUAUUUUUCUCUUAAUGGAAUAUUAAACCACAGGAUACUAAAGUGAGAAAGUGCGAAACCACAGGGUACUAACUUGACACACUUUAAACCAGAGGGUACUAAAGUGAGAAAAUGCGAAACCACAGAAUUCUAAAUUGAUACACUUUAAAUCACAGGAUAGUAAAGUAAGAAAAAGUAAAACCACUGGGGAGGUAUUUGAAGUUUUUUCAAUUAUUUUCUAUUAUUUUCUGUGUCAGAACAAUUUGAAUACAUAAGCUUGUACUUUUAAUUAGUAUUUUUUAACAGCUUGUAUUUAAAAUUAUUGGUUUAUUGUUUAUAAUAUAGAGAUUGAAAAAAAAAAGAUGAUUUAGUGGCCACGUUGAAAAAAAUUAGUAUAAUAUAUAUAGAAAGUGAAAACAAAUCUAUAAGGUACAGUAUAGUGUUGUAUAAUUAAGUUAAGAAAACAUUUCAAAUACCACCUACGUGGUUUCAUAUUUUCUCACUUUAGUAUCCUGUGAUUUAAAGUGUAUCAAUUUAGUAUUAUGUGAUUUUAUUUAUUUUUUUUUUAUUAUCGAUUCUACUAAUUUUUUUUGUUAAAUCAGUAACAAAGUUAAAACUAAAGGGUACUAAAGUGAAUAUUCGAUAUAUCUAGGUGGGGUAUCUAAAGUUUUUUGUAAAUAAUUUAACAAAAUAUUAACGGAAAAAUUGUCGAAAUGAUAAAAAUGAAAAUACAAAAAAUUAAUUUGAUAUAUUUUAAAUCACAUGAUACCGUAGAGUACUAAAAUGAGAAAGUGCGAAACCACAGAAGUGGUAUUAUCCUUAAGUUAAAAAAAACUCAGUUUAAGGGAUAAGGGGGGGAAUAAAAGCAAAACCCCACUCACAACUCAAACUCCUUUACAAAGAAGAAGAAGAAGUACCCAAAACAAAAAGAAAAAAAAAAAAAGCAUCAUCCUUACCAUCAUCAUGAGAAGCCACUCAAACCCAAAAUCCAAAGCAGAAGCAGAAGCAGAAGGUGUUCAUGACCAUGACCAGCCACUCAGCAGCUGCCACGUGGACCAGCCUGCGGCCACCCUGAACCGGGUCCACACCCUCCUCCACCUUGGUGCCACUCUGCUCUUGCUGCGAGCCCGCGCCUCUUCCCUCCGCUCUUGCGGGGGCCGCCCCCUCGCGAUCUUCGCGUCCUCUCUCCUCCUCCUCUCGGCCGAUGCCGUGCUCGCCUUCUUAUGGGCCCUCGGGCAGGCCUUCCGGUGGCGGCCCGUGACGCGCGCCGUGUAUCCGGAUCGGCUCUCGAAAGCGGCGGUCACGCUUCCCGCGGUGGACGUGUUCGUCGUUACAGCCGACCCGGAGAAGGAGCCGGCUGUCAAGGUAUCAGUCGUUUGUCUCAAAAAACUUAAGCUACAUAAGAGAAAAAAAAAAAAAAAGAAAAUAGAAAUCACGGUGCCCUUAUUCAUUUCUUUUUUUCUUUUUUUUUUUGAGAAAGAGAUAAGUAGCAUGCUAUUCGUUUCGUUUAUUUCAUUUAGAAAUAAACUUAGCUAGAAACGUGAAUCAACUAGAAUUUGAACUUGGGUCUCCGGUACCGUGCCCUUAUUUAUUUCAAAAUGUAAUCUAGUUGGGGAGCAUUCGCACAUUUUUAUCAAGUUAAACUAAAUUAGAAGCGAGUUUUUACGAUCCUCGUUCUGGUAUCACGUGAAAUUAUUAUUUUAUAUUUAACAGGUCAUGAACACGGUGAUGUCGGCGAUGGCGCUCGACUACCCGUCCGACAGGCUCACCGUGUAUCUGUCGGACGACGGGGGUUCGCCAGUAACGUUGUUCGCAGCCAAGGAGGCGUAUCGGUUCGCGAGGGCGUGGGUGCCGUUUUGUCGGCGGUAUAAGAUCGCGACGCGGUGGCCGGAGAAGUACUUUAGCGGCGACGAAGGCGGCGGCGACGGUGAGUUCAGAAAGGAACGGAAAAAGCUUGAGGUAUUAUUCAUUACAUAUCAUUCUCUCCGUUAUACCAUUUUGUUACUAUAGUAUACACGAAUAAUUCAAUAAUUAGUUAGGAAAAACCAUUAAUGUGAAGUAAAUAUUUAAAAAGUAAGCUAAAUUAUUGAAAAUUCUUAUAUAAAUAUCUAUUUUUUUAAAUUUUUUUAUGACUUUCAAAAUUCUAUAUUUUAAAUUCUUAACAUUUCAUAAAUAUUUUAAAAAGGAUACGAUGUUAACUGAGAGGACAAAAUGAUCAAAUUAUAAUUACUUCUUAUAUAAGAAAAAAAAAUAAUUUUUAAUAUAUUUUUAUCAUUUUGAAGGGUAUUGUCAGUAUAAAUUAUAAGAAAUCGACGGAAUAGUGACAAACCCUAACAAACGAGGCGCUAAAUGUAACAAUUUGAAAUGUUGAUGAAAUAAAAUACAUAUUUUUAAAAGUUAGGAAGAAAAAGUAAAAAAAAAAAGUAAUUAUAAAAUUUUUUUUGUAAUUUAGCCAAAAAAAAAGUAAUUAUAUUCUAUGCGUGCUAAACUUUAUUUAAUGAAAUAAAAGAGCAUUUUACAAUAAAAAUAUUUAUAUAAGGAAAAUACAAAGAAGCAACUCAAUUUGUCAAAGGAAAAAUCUUAAGUCACACUUAAAGAUAAUUUUAUGUAUAUCAAAAUAUAAAAAAUAAUUUUUGUAAACCAUCACUCCAAUGUAGAAUUUAUAUAUUUCUCUAUUAAUUAUAUCCUUAAUAAUUUGACAUGUCAAAAUAAAAUUUAUUUUAGUGAAUAUCCUAGAAUUCAAUAAAUAAAAUUAAUGUUCAUUUAUAGCUUCUUUUAAUUAAUUUAAUUAAAUCAAUAGUGAAUGGGGCCAAAAGCAAAGCUCAUUGUAUGGGACAAAAAUUCUAUGGGCACCAACCCCAAAUUACUUAAUUUGGGGACAGUCCCCGAUGGGCGCCACGUGGCACACCAUCCACCACUGCUCUCCCCAUAUGCUCUCCCAAUAUGGGGAGAGCAGUGGAACUUCUGGGUGCACCUGGUGCAUCUAUACCAGGUGCACCAUAAAAUUAAUUUUUAAUUUUUAGUUUUUUAAAUUAUAAUUUUAUGCAAUACUUUAUUUAUUUUUUUUAGGAGUUAUCAUGUAGAUAAUAUUAAAAUUUUAAACUCCAUUUGGUUUCGGAAAAAAAAAAGGAAUAAUAAAAAUUAUCCACGCUAUUCCACGAAACCAAAAAUAAAUUUAUUUUAAAUUUUCAAUUUUCUAAAUCAAUAAUUAUGAAUUAUAAACCAUAUAAAUCUUAAAUCAUAACACAUAUACUAACAUAUUAAGUUACAAUUUUAAAAAAUUUUAAAAAUUACAAUUAUGGUGCAACCUGGUAUAGAUGCACCAGGUGCACCCAGAAAUUCCACUGCUCUCCUAUAUUGGGAGAGCAGUGGUGGAUGGGGCGCCGCGUGGCGCCGUGGCGCCCGUGCCAUGCGGCGCCCAUCGGGUACUAGCCCCAAACUAAGUAAUUUAGGGCCGAUGCUCAUAGAAUUUUUGUUCCAUUGUAUGCAUGCUACAACAAUUGAAUCAAUUAAUGCCACGUUUCUUGGACACUUUUUUUUUUUUCUUUUUUUUAACCCCUCCCAUGUUAGUGUACCAAGUUGUAUACUUACUAGGGUUCUCUAGAAUAUCCCUAGACCUAACCCAAAAAAAAAAUUGGGUCUUUUUGGCAAUACAAAUACUAUAAAAAGAAAAAAACUUUUAAAAAUACUUUUUUUGAGAAAUUAAUGAUGCUUAAAAGCAUAUUGAAAUAAUUUACCGUCAUAUUUAAAAGCGUCAACAAAUAAAAAAUUGUUAGUCAUAUUUAAAAGAGUCAACAAAUAAAAAUUCGUUAUAUAUAUAUAUAUAUAGUUGAGCUAGAAUACUAUCGAUAGCAAACGGGCUCCGUUGCCACCCAUUUGUUUUCGAUGAUAGAGUCUCCAAAUCGACGAUCGGCACCGUUGAACAUGAUCUAUACCACUUGAAGUGUUUAGAAAUCAAAUUUCAAAUCUUUUCGACAUCAUUUGCCUAAUAAUCAAAAGGUUUCAAAAUUUGUAAUUUUAAUGAUCGAUAUGAGACGUUUUCUUGUUUAACGGCGUAAAGAUAUCCAAAUCAAUUGAAUUUUUGUUAGAAAAUUCUUUAAACUAUUUAAAACAAGAUCUAUACUCUCGAUCUUGACUACAAGACUCCUAUCAUUAUUUUUUAAAGAAUAUUCAUUUUCAGUCGUUCAUUUUUGUAUCCACUCGAUGGAUAAGAAAACAAUAUCAAAAAAAUAUGAAAUUUGAUUUCUAGAUACUUCAAAUGGUAUAGAUCAUGUUCAACGGUGUCGAUCGUCGAUUUAGAGGCUCCAUCAUCGAAAACAAAUGGGUGGCAACGGAGUCCAUUUGCUACCGAUAAUAUUCCAGUUCAACUCUAUAU
This 36074-nucleotide long non-coding RNA is filed under the name Ananas comosus (pineapple). RNAcentral's name for it is "long non-coding RNA (ACOM_LNC028768)". Lineage: Eukaryota; Viridiplantae; Streptophyta; Magnoliopsida; Poales; Bromeliaceae. The record is from RNAcentral.